ACGAACGCUGGCGGCGUGCUUAACCCAUGCAAGUCGCACGGAAAGGCCCUGCUUUUGUGGGGUGCUCGAGUGGCGAACGGGUGAGUAACACGUGAGUAACCUGCCCUUGACUUUGGGAUAACUUCAGGAAACUGGGGCUAAUACCGGAUAGGAGCUCCUGCUGCAUGGUGGGGGUUGGAAAGUUUCGGCGGUUGGGGAUGGACUCGCGGCUUAUCAGCUUGUUGGUGGGGUAGUGGCUUACCAAGGCUUUGACGGGUAGCCGGCCUGAGAGGGUGACCGGCCACAUUGGGACUGAGAUACGGCCCAGACUCCUACGGGAGGCGGCAGUGGGGAAUAUUGCACAAUGGGCGGAAGCCUGAUGCAGCAACGCCGCGUGCGGGAUGACGGCCUUCGGGUUGUAAACCGCUUUCGCCUGUGACGAAGCGUGAGUGACGGUAAUGGGUAAAGAAGCACCGGCUAACUACGUG
This 467-nucleotide ribosomal RNA is filed under the name uncultured bacterium. RNAcentral's name for it is "partial 16S ribosomal RNA". It matches the Rfam family "Bacterial small subunit ribosomal RNA", at positions 29 to 507 of the family's 1533-position model. The record is from RNAcentral.